UCUUACCUCAAUCUCAUUGUCUACAGUAGGGGAGGGGUCAUUGUUUCGUUUGGACCUUCCUCGUAACUUGACAUCAGAUCCUCUGUGCUGCCGGUCAGUUUCGGAAUCUUUCACCGGGGUGGAGGGAUCAUUUCUGGCAUGGAAAGAGGGAUUCUCCAUUAGAAUGACUUCUCGCAUCAUCCACUGGUUACUGAGGUCUCCAGCUCUGCAGGGACCAGUCUUCCUCAGGUUCAAAGUACAAUCAGCGCGGAGCUGAAGGAAUGAUUCUCCUAGAGCGAACCCCAGAGAUGUCUGGAGGAGGAUACCAAGGAGACAAGACACUGUUCUACCAAAGACUUCGAUCCCAAGUCUGAGAAGAUCCUCCUAGGAGACAAUGAUCUAUCCUCCAGCCAUUCUGAAUGGACCAGGUCUCUGGUCGUCUAAUCGGCCCCUUUCCCCUAAGAUACGGUUUGUUUUCCUUUGAGAUGCUGGAUUAGCUGGGGAAUGAACAGCUGAAUAAACGCUGGCAGCAGCCGGGGGUGAUCACUCGGGGACAGAUCCCCCGCAGCCAGGAGCCUCCACUGCCAAGCAUAGCCCCAGCUAAGGACACUGUCCAUGGGGGCAUCAGUAACGCUUCACCCCAGACAAUGCCUCUUAUAAAAGCCCUAUUGUCCCCCGGGCAAGUGAUAAUGUGCUUCUCUAUGGUUUUAUGAUGCUGGCAGGAACUGCACCGCUCUGGGCAAUUAACAGUACUUGUGCUUGGCAGGAGAAGUCAGCAGCGCAUCGAGUUAUAAAUCCGUCAUUCAACGCCAGCAAUACCGAGAU
This is a long non-coding RNA of Hyla sarda, 804 nucleotides long. RefSeq lists it as uncharacterized. Lineage: Eukaryota; Metazoa; Chordata; Amphibia; Anura; Hylidae. The record is from RefSeq and is a predicted model, not a curated record. The transcript has 3 exons.